RNAcentral lists this ribosomal RNA (344 nucleotides) under uncultured bacterium. RNAcentral describes it as "partial 16S ribosomal RNA". It matches the Rfam family "Bacterial small subunit ribosomal RNA", at positions 338 to 699 of the family's 1533-position model. The record is from RNAcentral.
CCUACGGGAGGCAGCAGUAGGGAAUAUUGCUCAAUGGGGGAAACCCUGAAGCAGCAACGCCGCGUGGAGGAUGAAGGCUUUCGGAUUGUAAACUCCUUUUGUUAGAGAAGAUAAUGACGGUAGCUAACGAAUAAGCACCGGCUAACUCCGUGCCAGCAGCCGCGGUAAUACGGAGGGUGCAAGCGUUACUCGGAACCACUGGGCGUAAAGAGCGCGUAGGCGGGAUAACAAGUCAGAUGUGAAAUCCUAUGGCUUAACCAUAGAACUGCAUUUGAAACUGUUAUUCUAGAGGAUGGGAGAGGUAGGUGGAAUUCUUGGUGUAGGGGUAAAAUCCGUAGAGAUCA